AAGGUUUCCGUAGGUGAACCUGCGGAAGGAUCAUUAUUGAAUGAACUUGGUGUGGUUGUCGCUGGCCCUCUUGGGGGYAUGUGCACACCUACCAUCCUCAUCUCUCCACCUGUGCACCUCUUGUAGRUUUGGAAUUGAUUAUCCGAGGCAACUCGGUCGUGAGGACUGCUAGCACUUAGCUGGCUUUCUUUGCAAUUCCAGGUCUAUGUUUUUCAUAUACCCCAUUGUAUGUAACAGAAUGUAUCAUUGGGCCCUUGUGCCUAUAAACCUUAUACAACUUUCAGCAACGGAUCUCUUGGCUCUCGCAUCGAUGAAGAACGCAGCGAAAUGCGAUAAGUAAUGUGAAUUGCAGAAUUCAGUGAAUCAUCGAAUCUUUGAACGCACCUUGCGCUCCUUGGUAUUCCGAGGAGCAUGCCUGUUUGAGUGUCAUUAAAUUCUCAACCAUUAUCAACUUUUGCUGAUAAUGGCUUGGAUGUGGGGGUCUAUUUUGCUGGCUUCUCAGAUAGUCAGCUCCCCUUAAAUGCAUUAGCCGGUGCCCCGCGUGGACUGUCUAUUGGUGUGAUAAUUAUCUACGCUAUAGACAUCUGCAAUCAUAUGGGUUUGCGCUGCUUCUAACAGUCUGUUGAUUCAGACAAUACAUGACAAUUUGACCUCAAAUCAGGUAGGACUACCCGCUGAACUUAA
This 684-nucleotide ribosomal RNA is filed under the name Hebeloma alpinum. Its description in RNAcentral is "eukaryotic LSU rRNA". Lineage: Eukaryota; Fungi; Basidiomycota; Agaricomycetes; Agaricales; Hymenogastraceae. The record is from RNAcentral.